Molecule: long non-coding RNA, 468 nt
Organism: Pan troglodytes (chimpanzee)
Lineage: Eukaryota; Metazoa; Chordata; Mammalia; Primates; Hominidae
Exons: 2
Source: RefSeq, a predicted model, not a curated record
UUUUUUUGUUGUUUUUUUGUUUGUUUGUUUUUGUCUCUGGGCUCUGAAGAUUGAAGUUUAUUAAUUGCUGAGAAGGAAAUAAAAGAGGUGUGGUGGAAAGGUCUUCCAGAACCAGAGGCUAAGCACACAGCAGUACAAAUAUAAAUUCUUUAUUCCAGCUUCCAGAAUUCCUCCUCUUCAGCCUUGCCUGCUCACUGGAAUAAUGAAGCAAUUAAACAGUGGUGUAAAGAAGUUCCAUCGAGUGGUUGAAGUUCAAUAGAAAACAAGGAAAUAGGCUGAUGUAUAUCAAAUACACCAUCGGCACUCUGAGUCCUUCCCAGGUUCACUAAAGGGGGAGGAGGGGACACCGUUUUAGAUUUAAUUUGUACUGUACCUGAUAUGAUUGUGAUAAUUUUCCAAUGAAUAAUUGUUAAUCUUACCUAAUUAAAAUAAUUAUAUGUUAAAUAAAAUAUGCAGAUGUUAAAUUGA